RNAcentral lists this ribosomal RNA (254 nucleotides) under uncultured bacterium. RNAcentral describes it as "partial 16S ribosomal RNA". It matches the Rfam family "Bacterial small subunit ribosomal RNA", at positions 524 to 776 of the family's 1533-position model. The record is from RNAcentral.
UACGAGGGGAACAAGCGUUGUUCGGAUUUACUGGGCGUAAAGGGCGCGUAGGCGGUCGUGACAAGUCACUUGUGAAAUCUCCGGGCUUAACUCGGAACGGUCAAGUGAUACUGUCGGACUAGAGUACAGAAGGGGCAACUGGAAUUCUCGGUGUAGCGGUGAAAUGCGCAGAUAUCAGGAGGAACACCGGUGGCGAAGGCGGGUCUCUGGGCCGAUACUGACGCUGAGGAGCGAAAGCGUGGGGAGCGAACAGG